RNAcentral lists this ribosomal RNA (773 nucleotides) under uncultured Neocallimastigales. RNAcentral's name for it is "partial large subunit ribosomal RNA". It matches the Rfam family "Eukaryotic large subunit ribosomal RNA", at positions 24 to 647 of the family's 3401-position model. Lineage: Eukaryota; Fungi; Neocallimastigomycota; Neocallimastigomycetes; Neocallimastigales. The record is from RNAcentral.
UAGUCUCGCACAGAUGCAUAUCAAUAAGCGGAGGAAAAGAAACUAACAAGGAUUCCCCUAGUAACGGCGAGUGAAGCGGGAAGAGCUCAAAUUUGAAAUCUUAAAGGGUUUCCCUUUACGAAUUGUAGUUUAAAGAAGUGUUUUCUGUUGAGGUUUUGGUAAAAGUUCUUUGGAAUAGGACAUCAUAGAGGGUGAGAAUCCCGUAUUUGACCUUUACUUUCAACUUUGUGAUACACUUUCAAAGAGUCGGAUUGUUUGGGAAUGCAGUCCAAAAUGGGUGGUAAAUUUCAUCUAAAGCUAAAUAUUGGCGAGAGACCGAUAGCGAACAAGUACCGUGAGGGAAAGAUGAAAAGAACUUUGAAAAGAGAGUUAAACAGUACGUGAAAUUGUCAAAAGGGAAGCGUUUGACACCAGUGUUGUUUUUCUGAAAAUCAAUUAAAGAACUGUUUAUGCUAAGCUGUUUAGACUUUAUCAGCUAUCUGUUUAGUUUUGAGCUUUUCUUUAAUGCACUUUUCAGUUAACAAGUCAACAUCAAUUUCUUUUGCUGUAAAAAAGCUUGAGGAAGGUGGCUUGAGAUUCGUCUUAAGUGUUUAUAGCCUCUUGCCUAUGCAGUCGGAGAGAUUGAGGUCUGCAGCGUAGAUCCUUCGGGGCUAAAUGCAUUUGUGCUAAGUUAUAGCAUUUUAUAGACAACUUGUUGACUAUGAUUUGUCUUGUAGCUUACUCGCUUAUGUUAUUUUACCUACGCUUAGGAUGUUGACGCAUGAGAUAUACGC